This 497-nucleotide ribosomal RNA is filed under the name uncultured bacterium. RNAcentral describes it as "partial 16S ribosomal RNA". It matches the Rfam family "Bacterial small subunit ribosomal RNA", at positions 28 to 507 of the family's 1533-position model. The record is from RNAcentral.
GAUGAACGCUGGCGGCGUGCCUAAUACAUGCAAGUCGAGCGAACAGACGAGGAGCUUGCUCCUCUGACGUUAGCGGCGGACGGGUGAGUAACACGUGGAUAACCUACCUAUAAGACUGGGAUAACUUCGGGAGACCGGAGCUAAUACCGGAUAAUAUAUUGAACCGCAUGGUUCAAUAGUGAAAGACGGUUUUGCUGUCACUUAUAGAUGGAUCCGCGCCGCAUUAGCUAGUUGGUAAGGUAACGGCUUACCAAGGCAACGAUGCGUAGCCGACCUGAGAGGGUGAUCGGCCACACUGGAACUGAGACACGGUCCAGACUCCUACGGGAGGCAGCAGUAGGGAAUCUUCCGCAAUGGGCGAAAGCCUGACGGAGCAACGCCGUGUGAGUGAUGAAGGUCUUCGGAUCGUAAAACUCUGUUAUUAGGGAAGAACAAAUGUGUAAGUAACUAUGCACGUCUUGACGGUACCUAAUCAGAAAGCCACGGCUAACUACGUG